GGUCCUUGGACCUCAAGCUAAAAAUUCUGUCUGGUUUAACUCCUUCAGCUCAUAAACUGGAAGGGCCCAUGAAUGAACAUGAUGACUUAGGCGACAGCAAGUUCAGUUGUGGAGGCUGAAGUUGGAUUGCUUUUGGUGGAGAAGAGAAGAGCUGAAGAGGAACAGGAGAUAGGUACAAGAGGGAAGGCUUGUCCCUGCGCCACAAGGUCUGCGUCCUCCGUGGGGAAGACUUGAACACCAAGAGUGAGUCAUUUGGCUGGAGGCUGAAAUCAUCUAGAGGUUUCUUCAUUCACUUGACAUCUUCGUUCUGGUACAUAUGGUUUGAACUUCUCGCAGCAAGGCAGCUGGAUUCAGAGAGGAAAUCUCCCAAAAGUCACAAUGACAUAAUUUGUAUCCUGAGCACUUUGAAACAGGGGCAGACCUGAGUGGGACUCUACUGGCAGAGGCUCAGGACAACAUUAACGCACCAGGAUCAACACCUAUAGAACUGGACAGAAGGAGGAGCUGAAUUGCAACAUGGUCACAGCAAAAACCAGGGGAAUUCUGGAGUAGGUCCAAUUGCUGCUUGUUGCUCAUCUAGAACACCUGGGGAUGGGAAGAACUGCCUGAGGCCACGGUAGUUGACUGUGCUGGGUUUUUGCUGUCCCAGGAAUGGAGCUCCAGGGUGUGGUAGGAUUGUCACAAAGAAAAGGGAACACUGUGGAAGAGACUGGACGCAUCAGGAGGGGCUUUCAAAACAUCAAGUUCUCUCUACCCUCAGCCAGAUUCAGCAUCUCAUUAAGGUAUGUCACUGUCUUCAUGAUUGCCAUUGAAGAAAAUAUUCUCUUGGAAAACAUAAGGUCGUGCAGAAUUUCUAACAGUGAAAUCUCAUUGGUCAUAUCCUAUUCUGAUGCCUCAUGGAGUUUGUCAUUUUUGGAGCUGCUAUAUUGACCAAUACAGACGUACCUGUAUUAGGUGGGUACAACAACUAUCGGUUUAAGCAUCCUAAGAAAGUCAGUUUUGCCACUUGUGGAAAGAACUGGGCUCUUUUUCAUCCUGUUUCUACACACGUACAGGCAACCAUGAUUGUUCAGAAUACCCAAUUCACAAAAUAUUUGAUUCAUAAAUUUUAAUUAAAGCCUUAAAUUCAAAAUGUUUCUGAAACUGGUGAAACUUCAAAAUGGAACAUCAUAAAAUGAAAAAGGAGGGGCUGGCCCCGUGGCCGAGUGGUUAAGUUCAUGCGCUCCCCUGCAGGCGGCCCAGUGUUUCGUUGGGUCGAAUCCUGGGCGUGGACAUGGCACUGCUCAUCAAACCACGCUGAGGUGGCGUCCCACAUGCCACAACUAGAAGGACCCACAACGAAGAAUAUACAACUAUGUACCAGGGGGCUUUGGGGAGAAAAAGGAAAAAAUAAAAUCUUUUAAAAAAAAAUAAAUAAAAUAAAAUAAAAUGAAAAAGGAGUCAAUGUAUUCUUUUUAAAUAGCCAAACACAGCCUUCAAACACAAAAGCACCAACAACUGGUGCCUUGCUUGUUUUGACAAACUAUUCAAAUAAAUUUUAAUAGAAAUUAAAAAUGUGUAAAUUCUGCUGCACAGCUUAUAAUCACAAUGCUUAGUAUAAUAUAUAGUAUAUUGCACACAGAAAAUGUGACUUUAAUGCAUACCACUAGCAAAAGUACCUAACUUUUUAAUGCUCUGUACUUGCGCAUAUUUUUGUUAGAUAUGUUUGAUAUCACAGACUUCAGAUGUCUUUUAUAAUUUUGUGUUCCUUUGGUUGAUUUCCACAACAGAUUUGCAUGCCCCUAACCCAUCCUGGUUAAUAUUUCUUUAUAUCUGUAUCUGAAGUUUGGGAAAGUGACCUGAAUGAACAAGCCUUGACUGUGGUGUCACCAGUCUUUCAGUGGUUAUGUUAAUAACAUGUACAUAUAUUUCACCUCCAUCUCUUUUUCCUCAGAAACUGUCAUGUGUGAAAUCAUAAUGCUGUUUCCUUGAUGAGUUUUAUCAUAAAAAACAUCACAUUCAUUCUGCAUGAUUUUUUAAAAUUAACUUUACUGGGGUAUAACUUACAUAAAAUGCACCCAUUUUAACUGUACAUCAUGAUACACUUAGAUAAAAUGUAUGCACCUGCACUCUGCAUGAUUUUUAACUUAGAGGGAUGUGUGACCUGAGUUCAAUACUAAAUGGUCACUUACUAGCUAUGUGACCUUGGGUAAGUUACCUUAACUUCUCAAAGCCUCAGUUCUUCUCUCUGUAAAAUGAGGAUAAUGACAAUCUCAUAGAGUUGUGAAGAUUCACUCUGCUACCAUCUACUGCUGAAUAAUUUCUGAAGGACAAAGUUCCACUAGAAAUAAGUAGUUAUGAAGUCAGGCAAAAAUUCACAGACGCUAAAGCGUAGCUUCUGCAAUUGUUCCAGUACGAUGCUAAGCACUGGAAGCAGGUUGGUGGCGGGUUUUUUUUCCUUUACACUCCCUACAAGCGUGAAGGCAACGUUCUUCAGCGUCUGAGAACGUGGGCGAACUGUAUGUGCUGAAUGACGUGGCUUCGCUUUGGUCACAAGGGCUUCUGCCAGCCAAUGAACAACUUCCUGUGAAUACAGUCUGACGUCAGACAUGGAGAAACCCAUACGGCAGUGGCUUCAUGUCAUCCUUGAUUACGUCUGGAUAUAUACUCGGAGAUUUUUUUCUUUUUUUUCAUUUAUUUGUUUAUUUUUGGAUGUACAUCAUAAUAUAUUUCCGAUUCUGUGUAGAUUACAUCAUGUUCACCACCCGAAAACUAAUUACAGUCCAUCCCCUCACAGGCACUUUGGAAUUCAGCUGCAUUCUUCUACUUUCAACAAGUUACCUUCCUACCACUUCCAUUUGGGUGGAGCCAGAAGGAAGAAACGCCCAAACAGAUCUUCAGGAUCCACCCUCCCCAAUAGGUUCUCACGGCAGAGAUGCGCCUGGCAGGAGCUUCAACCCCAAGGCCACCCGCCGCCGCGGGUUCCCAAACCCGGAUAGGGCCCUAAUGGGAAAGCAGCCUGGGUUCGCCUCGGCCCAGCCUCCGCCAAGUCUUCGGGAUCUGACGACCCACAACAGCGCGAGGGCGGAGGGACCGGAGGAAGCAGAGGAAGAGGAGGAAGAGGAAUUGCUUUUGUCGAGGCUCCGCCCGGCGCUAGCCAGGCCUCGUGGAGCCUCCGGGGCUCGGGGUCCCCAGGGGGCGUGGCCUCAGGGGCGGAAGCGGAGCGCGGGCGGGGGCUCAGGCAGCGCGCGGCGCGGGGGAGGGUCGGAGCCUCACCGGGCGGGGCGGGGCCGCAGGGCCUCCCCAGAGCGGGCGGCGGAGCUGCACUAGUCCGCGCGCGGUAGGGCGGAGACCCCGUACCCGAGGAGAAGGCAAAUUCUUAAGAAGGUCUCCAGUUCUGCCCAUCCUGCCCCACAGUGUAAGUGACCAGUGCGGGUCGCCAGCCCGAGAGCCGGCAAUCAGGGUAGCUUCUGUUUUCAUUUUCACUUUCCCGCCCACGCCUCAGACUUGGAGCGGAGCAAGGCGUGGGGGCCAGCCCUGGUGUCACCGCCUCCGCCGCCAGGCUGGUCCCCUACCGGCGGCAGGCGAGGGCACAGGGGCAGUGGUGUGGGGGUUAGGUGCUCUGCAGGGUGCACUCUCCAAAAUGCUACCCUGCCCCGAGAUUUCCGCCAUCGAAGCAGUCCAGGAUAAAAUGCAAAUAUACUGGGGUCUUAAUUAGUAACUGAAGUGUUUCUGGCCCCCAGCUAUCUAAAAAUAUUCUUCUGGUUUAAGAGAUUAAGUGCCUUUUUCUUCUUUUUCUUUCUAGUGGAAAACUGGACGCUGAGAAGUACACGCCAGAUUUGGCGGCCAGGCUAGUCUGAGAGCUAUAGGACAUGGAGCACCCCCAGGGGAAGCAAGACAGGAUUCUCUCUCCCUCCUAGAUGUGAAUGUGUGACAUAGCUCCGCUCUCAACUCCUCUUUGCAGAUGAUUUGUGUUGUCAGAUAAUUCAAUCUUUCUAGUUUUGUGACAGCUUCUUAACUGAAUUCCUCCACUUUUAGUUCAGCUUAAGCCUUGAUUGUGUCAUCUACCCCAAUGCUAGACGAAAGAGUUAAAGGACCAAAAGAGAGUAAGCCUUUUAAAGAAAGAAAAGAGCUAUAUAAUUGCCUAAGUAAAGCAUACUUCAGCUUUCAUAACUGCAAAAUACGUUCAGUUUAACCAACCAAAUUUUGUGCUGGACCCUGGGAUAACACAUAUGUACUAUAGAUACUCUAGUAGGGAAGAUAGAUGAAUAGAAAGACAACUAUAAGUCAGUGUUAUACCUUUAAUAAUAAGAGCACAUACUAGGUACAAAAGUGGCUAACUGAAGGAGUGACUAAUUCUAUGAGGUAUCUGGGGACAGGGGUAUAAGAAAAAGGUUUCAGCCAGGAAUGAUGCCCAUCAGAGGGGGUGUUUGAAGCAUUAGCAGGAAUGGUUAAAAAAAAAAAAAGCUCAUGAGGUAGAUAGUAAUAAAUGACUACGAAAUACUGAUUGACAACACAGAAGAAAGUAAACUGUAAAGAGGUGAAUUCUCUUAAUUUUAAAUUAUCAGCAAAGAGAUUAGUUGAAAAAUGGGGUGAAGGAAUAAAGAACUCCUUUUAGUCAAGUCUUAAAAGUUACAGAAGUAAAAUAACGCUUCCAUAAUUCCCACUCCAGUAAAGACCAGUGUUGUUACAUUGGUGUAUGUUCCUCCAGGGUGUGUAUUCAUGACUGACCUAGUUUUCUGUAGAAAUGGAAUCUUCAUACACUGGAGGUGGUGUAGGAAAGUGGUUGCAUGUGCUGGCUUAGGCAGUCUGGUCUGGAGUGCAGGGUCCACUCCUUCCCAGUUCUGUCAUCUUGGGAAGUCAUUUCUCUUCACCUCAGUUUCCUCCUCUGCAGAAUAGGGCUAUAACUGUGUCACUUGUCGGUUGAGAUUUUAAAUGUCAGCAGAGACGUUUUGUGCAUGGAAAGGAACCCAUAAAGUGGCUUUUGUUUUAAUUGAUAUUUAAUUUAUUAGGAGUGUAAAAUUUAAUUCUAGUUACUAAGCAGUGAAACCCAAAUCUCAAAUUCACUUAUAAAUCUAUCAAUUUUAUGUUAAAAUAAAACACUUUUCUUGUUCUUUGCUUAAUCCUCAGUGAACAUAUUACUUUGACAUAUUAAACUUCCCAUUUAAACACUAUAAAUGGAAUAGAAUUUUCUUAAGUAUUACAUAUUAAAAUCACAAAAGCACACAAAUCUAAC
Molecule: long non-coding RNA, 5215 nt
Filed under: Equus caballus (horse)
Lineage: Eukaryota; Metazoa; Chordata; Mammalia; Perissodactyla; Equidae
Description: lncRNA (ENSECAG00000053194.1)
Source: RNAcentral